GACGAACGCUGGCGGCGUGCCUAAUACAUGCAAGUAGAACGCUGAAGGAGGAGCUUGCUUCUCUGGAUGAGUUGCGAACGGGUGAGUAACGCGUAGGUAACCUGCCUGGUAGCGGGGGAUAACUAUUGGAAACGAUAGCUAAUACCGCAUAAGAGUAGAUGUUGCAUGACAUUUGCUUAAAAGGUGCAAUUGCAUCACUACCAGAUGGACCUGCGUUGUAUUAGCUAGUUGGUGGGGUAACGGCUCACCAAGGCGACGAUACAUAGCCGACCUGAGAGGGUGAUCGGCCACACUGGGACUGAGACACGGCCCAGACUCCUACGGGAGGCAGCAGUAGGGAAUCUUCGGCAAUGGACGGAAGUCUGACCGAGCAACGCCGCGUGAGUGAAGAAGGUUUUCGGAUCGUAAAGCUCUGUUGUAAGAGAAGAACGAGUGUGAGAGUGGAAAGUUCACACUGUGACGGUAUCUUACCAGAAAGGGACGGCUAACUACGUGCCAGCAGCCGCGGUAAUACGUAGGUGGCAAGCGUUAUCCGGAUUUAUUGGGCGUAAAGAGAGUGCAGGCGGUUUUCUAAGUCUGAUGUGAAAGCCUUCGGCUUAACCGGAGAAGUGCAUCGGAAACUGGAUAACUUGAGUGCAGAAGAGGGUAGUGGAACUCCAUGUGUAGCGGUGGAAUGCGUAGAUAUAUGGAAGAACACCAGUGGCGAAGGCGGCUAUCUGGUCUGCAACUGACGCUGAGACUCGAAAGCAUGGGUAGCGAACAGG
This 764-nucleotide ribosomal RNA is filed under the name uncultured Streptococcus sp. RNAcentral describes it as "bacterial SSU rRNA". It matches the Rfam family "Bacterial small subunit ribosomal RNA", at positions 28 to 776 of the family's 1533-position model. The record is from RNAcentral. Lineage: Bacteria; Bacillati; Bacillota; Bacilli; Lactobacillales; Streptococcaceae.